RNAcentral lists this ribosomal RNA (253 nucleotides) under uncultured bacterium. RNAcentral's name for it is "partial 16S ribosomal RNA". It matches the Rfam family "Bacterial small subunit ribosomal RNA", at positions 524 to 776 of the family's 1533-position model. The record is from RNAcentral.
UACGGAGACUGCAAGCGUUAUUCGGAUUCACUGGGCGUAAAGGGUGCGCAGGCGGCCGUGUGUGUCAGGUGUGAAAGCCCGGGGCUUAACCCCGGAAUUGCGCCUGAAACUACAUGGCUAGAGCAUUGGAGAGGGUAGCGGAAUUCACGGUGUAGCAGUGAAAUGCGCAGAUAUCGUGAGGAACACCAGAGGCGAAGGCGGCUACCUGGACAAUUGCUGACGCUCAGGCACGAAAGCGUGGGGAGCAAAAGGG